UCUUGUCCAUUUUUGAAGUUCUAAGAGUCAACGCCUGUCAGUCCGUCCUCGAUUCUCUUCUCUGUUAGUCUAUUUGGGUGACCAUGGUUGAUUUAUUGGAUCUGCUUCAGUGGCCAUGGUCUAUUUCUAGGAAACUCAAUCAACAUAGCAUCAUCCCCGGCAAGGAUGGCUGUCUCAUUAUUUUCUCUUGCUUUAUCAUUUUUGCUGAGAUGAGGAACAAAAUACAUGCAGUGUUUGUGAUCCGGUAGGUUUGUUAUCAUUGGGAAUGAAUCUAUUUAGAAAGCCUCCGAAGACUUGUUGAUCUCAAAAGAGAGUUUGUUUCCUUCGAGAUGGAGGAGUGGACGCUCGGAGGAGCCUGUUCAACCCGGCACAAACUCACGGGUAAUAGAGAUCCAAAUAUACAAAUGAAUAUGCACAUGUUUAUAUUUAUGAAUACAUCAUGAAUAUGUGUUUAUUUCUGAGCUUUGGCGAUCUAAACUAAUCGAAAUAUAUGUGAUGAACUGUAUUCAUGUUCGUCAAAUAUUGGUGUAAUUGCUAAUCUUGUAGGCACAGAGAGCUGGAGCAAGAACCAGGGGAAGGACACGGAAAAGAGAGAGAACACACCAGCAAAAAGUUCUUUCCUUCUCAGACCACUCCUCUUUCAUCAUCCGUUUACUUUGCUUGUAAAGCUCUAGACAUCUUCAUUGUAUUAUGUAAAUCUCUCGUACAUUGUGAAAUACAAAUACAUAGCCAAUCUAAUGAA
Molecule: long non-coding RNA, 742 nt
Organism: Malus domestica (apple)
Lineage: Eukaryota; Viridiplantae; Streptophyta; Magnoliopsida; Rosales; Rosaceae
Source: RefSeq, a predicted model, not a curated record